Molecule: ribosomal RNA, 253 nt
Filed under: uncultured bacterium
Lineage: Bacteria
Description: partial 16S ribosomal RNA
Rfam family: Bacterial small subunit ribosomal RNA
Source: RNAcentral
UACGUAGGGGGCAAGCGUUGUCCGGAAUUAUUGGGCGUAAAGCGCGUGUAGGCGGUCCGGUAAGUCGGUUGUGAAAGUCCAGGGCUCAACCCUGGGAUGCCGAUCGAUACUGCCGGACUAGAGUCCGGAAGAGGCGAGUGGAAUUCCCGGUGUAGCGGUGAAAUGCGCAGAUAUCAGGAAGAACACCUAUGGCGAAGGCAGCUCUCUGGGACGGUACUGACGCUGAGACGCGAAAGCGUGGGGAGCGAACAGG